RNAcentral lists this ribosomal RNA (492 nucleotides) under uncultured bacterium. Its description in RNAcentral is "partial 16S ribosomal RNA". It matches the Rfam family "Bacterial small subunit ribosomal RNA", at positions 29 to 507 of the family's 1533-position model. The record is from RNAcentral.
AGUGAACGCUGGCGGUAGGCCUAACACAUGCAAGUCGAACGGCAGCACAGUAAGAGCUUGCUCUUACGGGUGGCGAGUGGCGGACGGGUGAGGAAUACAUCGGAAUCUACUUUUUCGUGGGGGAUAACGUAGGGAAACUUACGCUAAUACCGCAUACGACCUACGGGUGAAAGCAGGGGAUCUUCGGACCUUGCGCGAUUGAAUGAGACGAUGUCGGAUUAGCUAGUUGGCGGGGUAAAGGCCCACCAAGGCGACGAUCCGUAGCUGGUCUGAGAGGAUGAUCAGCCACACUGGAACUGAGACACGGUCCAGACUCCUACGGGAGGCAGCAGUGGGGAAUAUUGGACAAUGGGCUCAAGCCUGAUCCAGCCAUACCGCGUGGGUGAAGAAGGCCUUCGGGUUGUAAAGCCCUUUUGUUGGGAAAGAAAAGCAGCAGGUUAAUACCCCGCUGUUCUGACGGUACCCAAAGAAUAAGCACCGGCUAACUUCGUG